This is a long non-coding RNA of Orcinus orca (killer whale), 6743 nucleotides long. RefSeq lists it as uncharacterized. The transcript has 2 exons. The record is from RefSeq and is a predicted model, not a curated record. NCBI's taxonomy places the organism in Eukaryota, Metazoa, Chordata, Mammalia, Artiodactyla, Delphinidae.
CUGAAGUGGGUGGCCGAGUGAGCCAUCCCUCCCUAUGACUCAGAAAAUAUUUUCUGAUCUGACCUCUGCUGGUAUGAGUCCUGCCUGAUCUGAGCUCAGGUGGAAGGCAGGUUAACCCUUUAACGACUUUCUGUGGGUGAAGUAGCCUCUUUAAAGAGGAAGGGAUCACCUGAAAAGCCUGAUAUUCCAUACGUACGUGACUGUUAGCUUUUGAACUUUUGUACCUUAACGUCCAAAUGCUGCCUGUGUACUCUGUUCCUGGUGGGAGGAGCCAGAGGUGGCCGGCCCUUUGGAUAUUCACUAGGCAGGAGGUGGCGGGAGCUGCAGGGGACCGGCCCCCAGUCUACCUCUAGGAGCUGCGUCCUUUUUUCCUUAAUUAAACUUUUUUAUUUUGAGAUUAUCGUAGAUUCUUGCACAGCCGUCAGAAAUAAGACGGAGACGUCCCACGUUCUCUUUACUCAGUUUGUCCUGAUGGUGGCAUCUUACAAAGCUACGCACCGAUGUAAUGAUUUUGUUGGCAUUGGUACAAUCAAGAUACAGAGUGUUUGGUGUCCCUUUUGAAUUCGGUGACCUGUAGGGUGCGACUGGCUGUGUCUGCGCGUCCCUGGGUCCCAGCCCGGCGCUCGUCUCCCAGGAAACCCCUCUCCUGCCUCUUUCUUUCUGCCGUGUCCUCCUCUCGUGGUCCUGGCGCUCUGCCCCAGUGCGUGCGCCUUCUCUCCCUGGCUGUGGGAUGACAGUCCUGUUUCCUUCCUCCCACUCAGGGCGCUGCCUGGAGGCCUCUUUGGCAUCUUCUCUGUCCCUUCAAGCUGUCCCUGCCGUUCCCACCAGCCAGGUCUCCUGCCGCGCCCAUGGCGUUGAGCGGUCCCAAGGGUGUUCACAGAGGACGUGCUGGGUGUCUGUCUGCCGUGCUCCGCAGCUCACACGUGGCUCUGUAGUGCCUCCCUCACCGCCCGCCUUUGUCGUUCCUUCCCAGACUCUCUCUCCCCACCCAUGGGCGCUGUCGCGGUGCCUGGCCCGGGGCUCUGUUCCUUGGCGCCCCUGUGUCGGACCGGGCCCUCUUCCUGUCCAGGGCGCCUGGCAGGGCUGCCGAGUCACAGGUUCCCGUGAGCUGCAGUUGGGAGGCCGGAGGCUGUGUGCUUCACUGAGUAUUGACCUUGGAUGACGAUGUCUCCUCAUCUCUGAGGGGCUUCCGUUUAAAUCCCCUCAGUUAGUCAUGGGGUGCGCAGCCAAUGCCAGGAAAGCGCGUUAGACUCACACCAGGUGCACGGGCAGCCGGUGUGUGAGAGAGGUUACCUCUGAGAAUGCUUCUCCCUUAAAAACCUGAUGCGUCUUUUCCCGGGUGGGGAAGGGGUUUUGCAGGCUGUGUGCUGGGGGCCAGGGGGCCGCCACGGGGUGGUGCCCACAGGGAUGGCGGGAGUCGUGAGGCUCGGGGCGGGGAGCUCUCGGGAAGGAUUUGCACGUCGCAUGGUGGUGGUGGCUCACAUUUCCCGUGGUCUGCAGGUGGCUCCCUGGCGUCUGCUCUGUGCUCACCCUGCAGGCUGAGUGAGGCUCCCACCGGGGAGCAGGUGCUGGGGCCACAGGACACGCUGGGCCCACACCUGGUCUGGGACAGACACCAGGUGAAGGGGCGGGACAAGGGGAAGAGGAGCCGUGCUGGGUCUUGUGGGUUUUGUGUCUUUUUAAAUAACAGCUUUGUCAAGAUAGCAUUCACACACCACCCAUGUGAAGUGUACAAUUUAGUGGCUUCUACUAUAUUCACAGAGCGGUGCAACCAUCACUUCUAAUUCCAGAACGUUCCAUCAGCGCAAAGGGCCCGCAGUCCCCUGCCCCAGCCCCUGACACUAGGAACCCAUUCUCUGUGUCUGUGGAUCUGCCUGUUCUGGACGGCUCCCAUCAGUGGAAUCACACACUGUGUGUCCUUCUGUGUCUGGCUUCUCUCAACUGAGCAUCGUGUUCUCAGGGUCCGUCCACGUUGUUGUGUCAGGGCUUCACCCCUUUGCGUGGCUGAGUGAUGCUCCCGUGUGUGUGGACCAGGUUGUAGGGUCUCGAAGCCCCUGGAGAGGCGUUCGUUUGGCUUGGUCCUGGGGUGGGGCGAUGACAGUUGCACUGAUACGGUGCUAACAGGACCCCUUGCUGGAGUGGGAGACAGUUGAAGGCUGGGGGUGCAGCUCGCCUUGGCCUUUGAGACCGCGGGGUGGAGGCCAUGCUGCUGCUUGUCGCUUGGGGAGCUCCAGGUGAGUCCUUCUCCAGCUGUGCCCCCUCGGUCCCUGGGCUUUCCCUCCCUUCCCGUCACGGCCUCGGCCUCAGGCCGGACUGCUCUGUGGCAGUAAAGCAUUUUCUUUGGUGAGGGCAAGAAAAGUUCUGGUGGUGAACUUUUGGUGGUUGUGUUCCCCCGUCCCACCGGAGUCACUGCACGACGGCCCCUCCAUGCGGACCCCCGGCAUCAGGCGCUAAGCACUUGCAGGCGCUCCUUGUGUGGGUGGGUGACCUGGGCUGUUACAGGUGGGCUAGUUUGGAUUGAAGCAACUGAAAUGGUCUUGUCACCCCUGGAGCCACCGUGGCACCCCGUCCUCCUAUGGACACACCCAUGCCCGUCCUGCAGAAGGACGGCUGCCCGGACAGCAGGGCGUCCCAGCCGGUCCUGGCUCUGCGCAGACUAGCUUCCGUGAGCUGCGGACCCAGGCGUGGAGCUCAGGGUCAGGUCUGGAAACGCUCCCGCAGGUGUGGCGGUAGGUGAGGGGGCACAGGAGCCACGCACAUGCCCUACUGGGAGCCACGUGACGAGUCAAAAGGGGGAGGCGAGGUACGUUUUCAUAGCGUUGUACAUAACCGAGUAUAGCCCAAAUACUACGUUUUCAACGUGUCGUUUAAAAAAUUAGUAAAGGGCAGUUUUACUUCGUGUGUGUGUGCUCGCGCGUGCUGUCUUAGAAAUCUGCGUGCAUCUUGUGCUCACAGCACACGUCACUGGAGUGGGCCAGCGCGCACCAUUGCCCCUUGUCCAGGUGGCCAGGGGCCGCUGUGGGCACAGUGAGGCUCUAGACCCCUCUCCCUCGUGAGGGCUCCUUCCUUGGACCCUGGUCAUCGGUACCCCAGUGUGCACAGCGGGUCCCACCCGCCCGGGUCAGGGCCACGGGCCCACCGUGUCCUGCACCGUGUCCGUGGCCCGGGAGCCACGAGCCUGCUCCCUCUUCUCUCUUCCUCCUCCAGCUGGACUUUGGCCUCAUGGGGUCCCGGCAGCCCCUUCCUGUUUUCCCAUGUUGACUGUUCUUGCAGUGCCAGUCUCGCGGGCAGGGUUUUGAGACGCGGCUCGGUCCCGAGACCAGCCUGGUUUGUCGCCUGGCCCUGCGGGGAGAGGACCGGAUGGGCGGUGGGAGGAGAUCCUCCUUCCUGGCUCUCUCCUUUGCAUCGCUUUACCGGGCGGUUCCCAUCCUUGGCCUGGCUUGUCCUCAGGUACGGUCCUGGGGCCAGGCAGCACCCCCUUGCUGGGGGCCUGCGGACAUCCAGGGCUGACUGUGGACAAGACCCGUGUGAUGCUGCACAGCCAAUCUCUCUGCCACCCCUGCCCCUGGGUGAAAUGCACUCAUUUUCAAUUGAAAACCUGUUUGCUUCUUGAAUACUCAGGCCCACCGCAGGCGCUGGCCCUCUGCCUCCCCCUACACGCCCUGCUCCCUCUCCUUGGCAAGUGGGUGCUCCCCAGCGGGGCUGCAGGCUGAGAGGUGAGGCUGAGCUCCUUCACUGGGCCUCGGGGCCCUCUGCUCACCCACCUGGCUUUCCUCCCAGACUGAGAGCCUUCUGUGGAUUUUCCACUCCUCCAGCCAGACCUCUGCUCUCAAAGCCCUGCCACUGAGAGAGGCAGACAGACAGCCGGCAGAACUCCCGCCGUGUUCCAUCUCCCGUGCCUUUGACUCCUCCCGCUGUGCUUCUCCACUUUGGGAAGCAGUGCGUGCAUCACAUCCUGGCUGCUCUGUCCCACUUGCCUUGGCCUCCACCCCAGGUCUCCAGAGGUGUGCAGAGCCUCGGGGAAGAAGGCAGCGACCCCCAGCCCGCAGGCAGUGCCCCCUGCAGCCUGCUGGGGAGUGGGGACCGCGGGCAGAGUCCCAGGGUGCUCCCCCUCGGCACCUCCUGGGCACUUAUGCCCCCAGCAGACGGUGAUACAGAGUGUGGUCCCUGCUUGCUUCAGGCCGGUGGUUCUCUGAGCAGGGCCCCUGGGCCAGCAGCUUCCCCACCAGCUGGAACUGGUUAGGAAUGCGGGUUCCUGGGGCCCAGACCUGCUGACUCUGAAACUUUGCGGGUGGGCCCCAGAGCUCCACUCUGACCAGGGAUUCUGAUGCUCGUCCCGGUGUGAUGCCCCUGCCUCGGAGGCCCCCUGGGUCCCGGCGUCUUCCUGCUGCAAGUGGGAAGAGGAGGACGGAGUCCACGUCUUGUCUCCUCCCUAGUCUCUGCCCCCUGCCUCUCGCCGGGUCCUCGAGGGACGAUGUUUCCAGAUGUCGUGCCCCUGUCACCGUGAACCAGCCUGUGUGCUCAGGGGUGGGCUGUGCCCUGGCAGCGAGCACCCAGGAGGCCUCCUGUCCAGGCUCCUCAGGCCGGGUGCAGGGCCUGUGGGGACGAGCAGGGGCAAAACCAGACCUGCGGGCGUCCGGGUGGAGUUCCUGUUCCCACACCUGUCUUCACGGUCAAGGAGGAGGCAGGGGCCUGCCGAGUGGGACAGCCAGACUCCCCAGCCCCGUGGGCGGCCCCCGCCCUCCCCUGAGCUGGGCAGGGGAGGGGAGCGGACGGGACGGGCUUGGUGGCGGCUCAGGCCUGAUGACAGCCCCCGGCUUGCGCACAGCGUGCUUUUUCAGGCGGGAACGGCUGUGCUUAUUGCGGCUGCUUUCCCAGGACCCCGCAGUGAGGCCGCGGCUUUGUGCUGAGCAGCAUUUCGCUAAGCCUCUGCGCGGCUUCCUGCGGAGGCUCUGAGGCUGUCAGUGAGAAGAGCCUGGGUUAGUCACUGACUCAGCAGGCAGCCAGCAGCGGGCCGGGGCUGUGGCUGGGACAGGGAGGCCGGGCGUCCCGUGCAGCAAGACCAGGGCUGGCCUCAAACUCCGGAGUUCCAGGGUUCCCCUGGGGAAGGAGGUGUGGGCGCUCCUAAGCGUGGGCUUCCUCAGGGCUGUUCUCAGUUGGACCUUUCUGGGUCGGCUUCUGGCGUCAAUCUGUUCUGAAGGCCUGUGAAGCAGAAGAAGAGGCCACAGCCGAGAAGCUGUGAGAGCUUCUGAAUCAUCGAUGGUGAUCAGGGCAUCUUAAAUCAUACGACUCAGGACGGUCGCUGGAAGCUGGCCAGUCCCUAAAGCAGCAUCCUCAGAUAGUAGGAGGCACAUCAUAAACUGUUUCCUUCCUUUUGUUCUGGUUUGAAAGUUGAAAGCUUGGGAAAGCUUGAGUUCAUCUCAUCACAGAUGAGACCACGUUCCAGGCCCCCGUCUUCCCAGGUCUGCGUGAUUCGGUCUGAGACGUGGUGGCUCAGCCAGGGCUGCGGCCCGCGUGCCGUGAGGGCCCCUGCCGCCCCUGCAGGAGGAGCGUCUCUGGGGCGCGUCCAGCCUCCUGGGGGGCGCCAAGGGAGGGAGCGCAGUCCGAGCCGGCACGGGGCUGCCACGCGGCGCACGCUCAGGCACACGCGCAUGCUCACGGGGUCCUUUCAGAGCUCACACCCUGUUUUGUAACUCCACAGUGGUGACUGGAAUCAGACUCUCCUGGCUGCUGCCACGUCCUCCUGUGGCUCUAAGACUUGUUCUUACGGGCCGUGCUCGCAGGGUAGUGUAUCGGCCUAAACGCAGACGUGAAUUUAGCAGCUUGAGACGACGCACACUGAUGACCUCCCGUGGUUUCUGAGGGCAGGGAUUCAGAGCAGGCGGGCCAGGGGAUUCCGGCCGAGGGUCCCUCAGGAGGCUGCAGUAGGGGCUUUAGCCGGGGCUGCCCCAUCUGAAGGCUGGACCGGGCGGGAUGCCUGGCUUCCAGGAGGCCCCUCCCGUGGCUCCUCUGCACGUGGGCCCCGCAGGGCUGCUGAGGCUCCUCAGUGCACGGGGGCCGGCUCCCCUCAGGAGGAGUGUGACGUGGGAGAGCGUUGGUGGAAAGUUCUAGACCCUCCUCCUCAUCCUGUGACUACCUCAGCGCCUUGUACACUGUGCUGUGUGCGUUUGUCUCUGAGCAGACCCUGCAGGACAGCGUGGCGUCUUCUCUGCUUUCAGUGGGUCCAGGAGCCCAGGGAGUUCAGGGCUGCCAGGACUGUCUUUGUGGACUCACUGAAUGUUGGGGACCAGGAACAGAGUCUGUCGGCCGUGUGAGUGUCUGAGAUGCUCAGUGUCUUCCUACUGAGGCGGAGGUGCUUCUAACGAUACCGUGCAUUUCCUCCUGUAGGUUUUGUUGUGGUUUUUUGUUUGUUUGUUUUUGCCACACCGUGCAGCAUGUGGGAUCUUAGUUCUGUGACCAGGGAUUGAACCUGGGCCCUCGGCAGUGAAAGCACAGAGUCGUAACCACUGGACCGCCAGGGAAGUCCCUGUUGUUCUUGUUGUUGAUAGCUGUUUUGAGGUGUAAUUCCCACAGUCUUCACCUCAUCCACCUAAAGCAUGCUGUUCCCUGCUUUGUAGUGUAUUCAUUGAGUGCAGUCGUCACUACUACCAAUUUUAGAACAUUCCAUCACCCCGAGAGGAAACCCCGUCCCCAUUAGUAUCCCUCCCACCCCCCUCUACAGCCCCUGACAACCAGGAACCCAC